AUGAACGCUGGCGGCGUGCUUAACCCCUGCAAGUCGAACGGAAAGGCUCCUGCUUGCAGGGGUACUCGAGUGGCGAACGGGUGAGUAACACGUGGGUGAUCUGCCCUGCACUUCGGGAUAAGCCUGGGAAACUGGGUCUAAUACCGGAUAGGACGAUGGUUUGGAUGCCAUUGUGGAAAGUUUUUCGGUGUGGGAUGAGCUCGCGGCCUAUCAGCUUGUUGGUGGGGUAAUGGCCUACCAAGGCGUCGACGGGUAGCCGGCCUGAGAGGGUGUACGGCCACAUUGGGACUGAGAUACGGCCCAGACUCCUACGGGAGGCAGCAGUGGGGAAUAUUGCACAAUGGGCGCAAGCCUGAUGCAGCGACGCCGCGUGGGGGAUGACGGCCUUCGGGUUGUAAACUCCUUUCGCUAGGGACGAAGCGCAAGUGACGGUACCUGGAGAAGAAGCACCGGCUAACUACGUG
Molecule: ribosomal RNA, 464 nt
Filed under: uncultured bacterium
Lineage: Bacteria
Description: partial 16S ribosomal RNA
Rfam family: Bacterial small subunit ribosomal RNA
Source: RNAcentral